This 581-nucleotide ribosomal RNA is filed under the name Pseudozyma sp. RNAcentral's name for it is "partial large subunit ribosomal RNA". It matches the Rfam family "Eukaryotic large subunit ribosomal RNA", at positions 97 to 658 of the family's 3401-position model. The record is from RNAcentral. Lineage: Eukaryota; Fungi; Basidiomycota; Ustilaginomycetes; Ustilaginales; Ustilaginaceae.
AGAGGGAACAGCCCAAGAUUGAAAGCUGGCGUCUUCGGCGUCCGCAUUGUAAUCUCAAGAAGUGUUUUCCGCUUCGGACCAUGCCUAAGUCCCUUGGAAAAGGGCAUCAUAGAGGGUGAUAAUCCCGUACAUGGCAUGGAGCGCCCGAAGCUUUGUGAUACGCUUUCUACGAGUCGAGUUGUUUGGGAAUGCAACUCAAAAUGGGUGGUAAAUGCCAUCUAAGGCUAAAUAUUGGGGAGAGACCGAUAGCGAACAAGUACAGUGAUGGAAAGAUGAAAAGAACUUUGAAAAGAGAGUUAAACAGUACGUGAAAUUGCCAAAAGGGAAGGGUAGGAGGUCAGAGAUGCGUCUUGGGAUUCACCCUUGCUUUUUGCCUGGUGUUUUUCCCAAGUUGCAGGCCAACGUCGGUUUUGGGCACUGGAGAAAGGUAGGAGGAACGUGGCACCUCUCGGGGUGUGUUAUAGCCUCCUACUGGAUACAGCGACCGAGACCGAGGAACGCAGCGUACUCUUAAGAGCGGGCCUUUUGGCACCUUUACGCUUAUGGCGUUGGCAUAAUGGCCCUCUACCACCCCUCUUGAA